AUACGUAUUUUAAACAAAGGGCUCAUGGAAAUAGUCACCAGGAGGAAAAAUAGUAUUCAGGUGGACUGCACAACUAUGUGUGUGGAGCCAUACCCAUGCAUUUUGGAGACGUAACCACAUUGAGACCUAUGUUUUCCCCCUUCUGUGAUUCUGAAGAGCUUCUACAGCAUCACUUCAAGAUUUUACACCUGAAACGGGUUCAUUUUUAUUUGUCUGAUGCACAUUUCCAGCCAGCAGCCGGGAGGCUGAAGAGGAUUCAAUCCACAAUUGUUCUUCAGAAAGCACACCAAGUGAAUAAAUGUUUAUAACCCCAAAUGGUGUCACGGCAGCAGAUGAAUGGCAGCAGAACAAUGGGCAUUUGCUGCACUUUUCAGGCCGCAGCCAAGUUCCCUAGCAACUACAUAGGAGCUGUGCAGCCUGCAGAGGUACUGUGAGUGCCAGCAGGCUGUUACCUGAGAAAUGACUGAGAAAUGAUCUUAGUGCCGUAUUUCAUUGAGGAGAUACCAUUAAUCAAUUGCCUGCUUGUAAUUCACAGAUACCACUUUCUCCCUUUGGGUAAACUAUUAGGUAAGAAUUCCUCUGGCUAAUAAUUUCAUUGUUAUUUAAUUUCAUAUAUGUGUUAGUAUUAAUUAUAUAAGUUUAAAGUUGUUUGAGUUCCAAGGAAAUAGCACUGGGUAGCUGCUAUGCUGUAAGAAAAGCACGCUGAGCUGAAGUUUGACAUUAGGCUAAACUGAUCUAAUGGCUGUUAAGUGCUUAAGUGCCAAUUGCUUCCUUGAUUUAGGACUGUUUUUUGAAACACAUAGAUAGGUACAAGGCAAAAGGGAAAAAUAAAAGGAAUGGCUUUAUCAAAGAGACAUUGUUAUUUAUUAAAUCAGUUAAUCAUAUGUUACCAGAGUAAUUAAUAAUUACUGAUGCAAGGAAUGUGACAGAUUAGCCUACAGCGAUACCAAGUGCUCCAAACUGAUGAUGGAAAGUCAUGGUCUGCCUUUCCCAGGUGUCUGACUGCAACAGAGAGCAGGUCACUCCAGCUUCUAUAACACUGCGCUCUCUGCUGCUCUGUUACUCACUGUGUCAGGGGAGGGGCAGCUGGGGGUUGGGAAAAGGGUCUGCACCAGAGG
Molecule: long non-coding RNA, 1118 nt
Organism: Meleagris gallopavo (turkey)
Lineage: Eukaryota; Metazoa; Chordata; Aves; Galliformes; Phasianidae
Source: RefSeq, a predicted model, not a curated record